This 1256-nucleotide long non-coding RNA is filed under the name Homo sapiens (human). Its description in RNAcentral is "non-protein coding lnc-CD74-3:1". Lineage: Eukaryota; Metazoa; Chordata; Mammalia; Primates; Hominidae. The record is from RNAcentral.
CACACGUGGGUGUGCAUUCUCCCCCCACACCUUCUGUGCAAAGCUGGGAGCUCACUCCACUGCGUCUUGCUUUUUUUCACUUGGCAGAUCUUGGAGAUUGUUCCACAUCAGUACAUAAAGUACAUAAAGAUUGUCACCCCACAAAUACACACCAAGUCCUAUUUUCAUCAGCGAUAAAAAAGAAAAGUUCUUGCUUUCCGGAAGCUUGCAUGCGGCUCUGAGUACCCAGUGACACCAGAUGGUACUCAGCGUUUUGCAAGGGAUUACCACAAGGCCCCGUGAUGGUGCCUGCCAUGGUUAGGACAGGCUGGUGGCUGGGUAGGGUUAGUGAGACCCAGUGGAGAGGAUGCUGUGUGUCACAGGCUGGAGAGGUGAGACCAUUGAGGUAGUCAGUUGUAGAGGAAAGAAACCAGCAAGAGGGGAAAAUCUGUUGGGAUGCUGCUUUUAGCCUUUGAUGGCGUGUUCCAGGCAGAGGGAAUAAGCAAAUAAAUGGGUCCUGAGACAAGGGGUUACUGUGAUGAGGCGGCGUUGGUUACAUGCCAAACCUUGCUAGGGAUUUUAAUAACAACAUUGAAUCUUAACCUGAUGAAAUAACAGUACUCCUGGGGAGGCGGGAGGGAUAGCAUUAGGAGAUAUACCUAAUGCUAAAUGACGAGUUAAUGGGUGCAGCACACCAACAUGGCACAUGUAUACAUAUGUAACAAACCUGCACGUUGUGCACAUGUACCCUAAAACUUAAAGUAUAAUAAAAAAAAAAAGCUUGCAAAAAAAAUAUAACAGUACUCCUUAAAUUGUUAAAAGUCAUGAAAGUCAAGGACAGGAGAUUAAGGAGGCGUGAAAACUAAAUGCCCAUUGUGGUAUCCUGGAUUGGAUUCUGGAACCAGAAUAGGGUAUUAGUAUAAAAACUAGUGAAAUAGGAUAAAGGCAGGGCACAGUGGUUCACGCCUAUAAUCCCAACACUUUGGGAAGCCGAGACAGGAGGACGGAUUGAGCCCAGGAGUUUGAGACCAGCCUGGGCAACACAGGGAGACCCCGUCUCUACAAAAAAUAAAAAAUUAGCUGGGCAUGGUGGCACACGUCUGUACUGCCAGCUACUUGGGAGGCUGAGGUGGGAGAAUUGCCUGAGCCUGGGAAGUGGAGGCCGCAGUGAGCUGUGAUUGCAUCACUACAUUCAGCCUGGGUCACAGAGCAAGAUCCUAUCUCAAAAACUAAAUAAGUAAAUAAUAAAUUAAAAAAUAUGAAUAAAGUCUGGAGUU